AGUUAAGCAAAGGGAACGGUUAAGGCCGUCAGAGAGCCAGGCCUCGGCCCGGCUUGGGAAGGCCCCGGGAAAGUUCUGAGGAGUCUUUCACAAAAAGCCGCGGAGGGAGGGAGGAGUUGGGGCGCGCUGGAUUUUCCUGCGCCGGUUUGGAGAGCGGCUGAUCACCGUAAAGCAAGAGAAGACCUCGCUCUCGGAUCUUUCCACGCCCGCCUCCUUCUCUCCAGGCCUUUCCACUUGCCGGGCUCUCAGCUGCCCGGAGACUGAUGCCCGCAAAGGUCUCCUGAGCUGCCCACUUCCCAGCCUACUCGGACCCGGACCCUCGUGGGCGCCCAGACCCACUGGCCUAGUCUUAUGUGACCGCUCUCACUUGAGGAAUAUCUUACAAAGAAGAAGAAAGACGGCUUCGAGCCGUGUUUACAGCUAUUCUCCUGAUCCUUUUACAUCUGGGGAGUUUAUUUAUAACUCCCACUAUAACUCUCUCUCUGUUUGAGGCGCUGGUGGCUCUAUUGACAGACUGAUGACUAGGAAUUAUAGCCCUAUCUCUAACCAUAUCUAACUAAAUGUGCCGUAGUUCUCUCUUACAGAUUUAUGCUUGGGGGAAAUAUAAUUAUUUCCAUUGUAUUUGUGCAUAUACAAUAGUUGUAGGAGCAGAUUUAUCUACAGGGAAAUAGAUGGCUUUCUUAUAGCCAUCCAGCUUUAUGGACAUUUGAUA
This is a long non-coding RNA of Suncus etruscus (white-toothed pygmy shrew), 712 nucleotides long. RefSeq lists it as uncharacterized. NCBI's taxonomy places the organism in Eukaryota, Metazoa, Chordata, Mammalia, Eulipotyphla, Soricidae. The transcript is spliced from 2 exons. The record is from RefSeq and is a predicted model, not a curated record.